Vidua chalybeata is the source of this 460-nucleotide long non-coding RNA. RefSeq lists it as uncharacterized. Lineage: Eukaryota; Metazoa; Chordata; Aves; Passeriformes; Viduidae. The record is from RefSeq and is a predicted model, not a curated record. The transcript is spliced from 3 exons.
CUGCACCUCGGCUCCGGGGAGGCUGCACCGGGCACGUGCUGGGCCAGGCGUCUGCGGUAGUGUCUGUUUCCACAACAGGAUUUUCAAGGAAGAUCCUUCUGGCCGUGCUCAUGACGGGGGUUUGGAAUACACAGGUAGUAGCCAGGCCUGAGUUACAACAUCUAGACCACACCAAAGUCCCCAGAAAGUAAAGCCAGUUGCUAUUCCAGGAAUUGCUGAUCUUCAGCUUCAGAUGAACUGUUGACUACCUGGGUGACCCAAAUCCAUCUGUCAGGGAGCUUAAUAUCUAGACGCAGCUACAGGAAGGAACUGGUGUGUGGGUGGAGGUAAAUUGGUGAGAAAUCUACUGCAGCAAGUGGGGCUGGUGCCAAUUAAAACUGGGUUUCUCUCUCUGGUGUUACUGUGGCCUGUAGCAGAAGACACAGAUGCAUGGAAGGUCUGCACUUCUAUCACUGUGCAG